GCCCCGAUAGCUCAGUGGUAGAGCAUUCCACUCGUAAUGGAAAGGCCGUCAGUUCAAUCCUGACUCGGGGCUCCA
This 75-nucleotide transfer RNA is filed under the name Microbacterium sp. Its description in RNAcentral is "tRNA-Thr". It matches the Rfam family "tRNA". Rfam says of the family: Transfer RNA (tRNA) molecules are approximately 80 nucleotides in length. Their secondary structure includes four short double-helical elements and three loops (D, anti-codon, and T loops). Further hydrogen bonds mediate the characteristic L-shaped molecular structure. tRNAs have two regions of fundamental functional importance: the anti-codon, which is responsible for specific mRNA codon recognition, and the 3' end, to which the tRNAs corresponding amino acid is attached (by aminoacyl-tRNA synthetases). tRNAs cope with the degeneracy of the genetic code in two manners: having more than one tRNA (with a specific anti-codon) for a particular amino acid; and 'wobble' base-pairing, i.e. permitting non-standard base-pairing at the 3rd anti-codon position. RNAcentral also lists the same sequence under 3 other names. Lineage: Bacteria; Bacillati; Actinomycetota; Actinomycetes; Micrococcales; Microbacteriaceae. The record is from RNAcentral.